ACUUUGCCACAGAACUAUGAGCAUGCCUGAGCUCAGAAACUAAGCAGGCUCGGACCUGGUUCAUACUUGAAUGGGAGAUCACCUGGAAAUAGCAGAUGCUAUAGGCU
Molecule: ribosomal RNA, 107 nt
Filed under: Echinops telfairi (small Madagascar hedgehog)
Lineage: Eukaryota; Metazoa; Chordata; Mammalia; Afrosoricida; Tenrecidae
Source: RNAcentral